UUUUCUGCUUAAUUUUUAAACCUUUGUGUGCUUUAAGGGGAAUUUAGUCAGCAUGUUUCUGAUUCACUUACCAUUACAUGAUCGGGUUGGUUCUUUGUUGCCAUUUGUGUGUGUGCACGUGUGUGUGUGUGCAUGUGUCGCUGGGGAGAUGCUUUAGGGGUACUUUUAGGGACUUUGACGAAUUUCUUGGGGUCGCCGGGGAGUGGAGAGGAAGGUUUCAUUCAGCCAAGGGGGAUCAAGUGCUAAAUCAAGAGGAGUGAAAGAGCUUCUAGAUUCAUGCCAGCAAUUCAGCCUGACCCAAAAAGAGAGGAAUCGUUUUUCUCAGAAUUUACUGUUGGAGAUGAAAGACAGGAUUUAGAGGUGCGACCAUGAGUAAGAGUCACAGAACCCAGUUUCACCCCCUGUUCUAUGCAUUUGGUCUGCAGCAAGUCUGGGGGAAAAAGGCACACCUUCUCAAUUAUCUGGCACAGAGAGAACCAAAAAGGAAAUGUUUGUAGUAGCUUAGAAAACAAGUAUCUGUGAUUGCAUACACAGUGAGGAGAAAGAGUAAAUGAGGUUAGGAGAAAAGAAAAAGCUGAAUGUAUGGGGAAAAGUGCAGAGUAUAGCUUUUUAGUGCUGGAGCAUGCUCAGUCCCUCAGCAAAUGCCUGAGUGGUUCCUAUGACCUUCAGUAGAUGGGGAACAAUUGAAGUUAACCUACACUUCAGCCACGCAAGCCAUUCCCAACAGCGAAUUCUUGGAGAGGAACAAUGCCAUUCUCUUAGGGAACCAAAUGUGGAUGGUACUAACAGGCGUCUGCCUUCCUUUUUCUCCAUUUCCAUAGCAAGCUGUUUCAAGGUGCUUCAUGAAAAGCUGCUCAAAACCAAUGUGUUCUAAAAGCCACAAGUUUGAUGACUGAUGAAAGAGUCACAAGAGAGAGUUUUUGCAUCUCUUCUUUAACAGAAAUCUUGAAAAGCCAAAUGACGGGGAAAGCACCUGAUUCAUCCUCUGCAAAUGCUGAAGAGUGUGCUUCACUGUCACCUCCUGCAUUUUGCAGCAGGGCCUAUUCAAAAGCUCCCCAAAGGAUGCGACUACCAUUCUGAGGAAGGAGAAAUAACUGAGUCAUGAGAAAUCUCACACUGAACUUUCAUUUAUGGAAAUUAUGGAUGUUUAAAUGUUACAAAUAGUCCCAUUUCUAUUCACAUUAUGUGAAACACAUACAGUCAGUCCUCAACUAUACAGUACUCCCUCCUGAAAAUGAAUUAUUCGGAACAGCUGAAUGUUCCAGAUGGCUUGAGGUUGGUUAACCCACUAAGUUUCAGCAAAAGUGUAGCAAAUAACUCUAAAACAGGCAGGUUUUGUCCGUCUCCCAUUUUCAGAGCACAGACCAUGCUUAGAGAUUAAUGAAAUUGUGUAAAGUUUGUUCUGCAAGUAUACACAGUGAAUACAGUGUUUAGUAUUUAAUAUAUAUCUCUAGAUGUAGUAGUAAUCUUGCUACUAUUUCUUCGACUAUAACCACUGUUCUUAAAGAUUAUUAAUCUUUUUAAUAAAUAUUGUAUUCGAGAUAGGCCA
This is a long non-coding RNA of Oryctolagus cuniculus (rabbit), 1549 nucleotides long. The record is from Ensembl. NCBI's taxonomy places the organism in Eukaryota, Metazoa, Chordata, Mammalia, Lagomorpha, Leporidae.